This 424-nucleotide ribosomal RNA is filed under the name Salmonella enterica subsp. enterica. RNAcentral describes it as "bacterial SSU rRNA". It matches the Rfam family "Archaeal small subunit ribosomal RNA", at positions 321 to 746 of the family's 1478-position model. The record is from RNAcentral. Lineage: Bacteria; Pseudomonadati; Pseudomonadota; Gammaproteobacteria; Enterobacterales; Enterobacteriaceae.
GCCUACGGGUGGCUGCAGCUACGAAAACUUUACACUACGCGAAAGCGUGAUAAGGGGAUUCUACGUGCCCAUGCUUAGCAUGGGCUUUUGCCAAGAGUAAAGACCUUGGCGAAUAAGUGGUGGGCAAGACCAGUGCCAGCAGCCGCGGUAAUCCCGGCGCCACGAGUGGGGGCCGCUAUUAUUGGGCCUAAAGCGUCCGUAGCCGGUUCGGUCUAUCCCCUGUGAAAUCGUGGGUCUCAAGCUCACGGCGUGCAGGGGACACUGCCGAACUAGAGACCGGGAGGGGUCAGAGGUAUUCCGGGGGGAGCGGUAAAAUGCUAUAAUCCCCGGAAGACCACCUGUGGCGAAGGCGCCUGACUAGAACGGAUCUGACGGUGAGGGACGAAAGCCAGGGGAGCAAUCCGGAUUAGAUACCCUUGUAGUC